GGUCAAGAAGAGAAGCGCAAACGGUGGAUGCCUUGGCAGUAAGAGGCGAAGAAGGACGUGGAAUCCUGCGAAAAGCUAUGGGGAGCUGGAAACGAGCGUUGAGCCAUAGAUGUCCGAAUGGGGGAACCCGGCUGCAGCGAUGCGGUCAUUUGCAUUUGAAUACAUAGGAUGCAAAGGCGAACUCGGGGAACUGAAACAUCUAAGUACCCGAAGGAAAAGAAAUCAAGAGAGAUUCUCCAAGUAGCGGCGAGCGAACGGGGAGGAGCCUGGCGUGAUUUAUUAUUGAACUGAGUAGAACAAUUUGGGAAAGUUGGCCGUAGAGGGUGAAAGCCCCGUAUACGAAGGUUUGAUGAGGAACUAGGCACGCGAACAAGUAGGCCGGGACACGUGAAAUCCUGGUUGAAGAUGGGUGGACCAUCAUCCAAGGCUAAAUACUACUUACUGACCGAUAGUGAACCAGUACCGUGAGGGAAAGGUGAAAAGAACCCCGGAGAGGGGAGUGAAAUAGAAUCUGAAACCGUUU
Molecule: ribosomal RNA, 523 nt
Filed under: Legionella pneumophila
Lineage: Bacteria; Pseudomonadati; Pseudomonadota; Gammaproteobacteria; Legionellales; Legionellaceae
Also listed under: 1 other name
Description: partial 23S ribosomal RNA
Rfam family: Bacterial large subunit ribosomal RNA
Source: RNAcentral